This 100-nucleotide ribosomal RNA is filed under the name Nitrospirota bacterium. Its description in RNAcentral is "partial 23S ribosomal RNA". It matches the Rfam family "Bacterial large subunit ribosomal RNA", at positions 2826 to 2925 of the family's 2925-position model. The record is from RNAcentral. Lineage: Bacteria; Pseudomonadati; Nitrospirota.
CCUAAAGGCCACUUGUAGACUACGAGUUUGAUAGGCUGGGUGUGGAAGGGCUGUAAGGUCUGAAGCUAACCAGUACUAAUCGGCCGUGCGACUUAACAAC